Molecule: ribosomal RNA, 452 nt
Filed under: Magallana ariakensis (Suminoe oyster)
Lineage: Eukaryota; Metazoa; Mollusca; Bivalvia; Ostreida; Ostreidae
Description: partial large subunit ribosomal RNA
Rfam family: Bacterial large subunit ribosomal RNA
Source: RNAcentral
GUGCGAAAUAUUACUGUAAACGGCCGCCCUAGCGUGAGGGUGCUAAGGUAGCGAAAUUCCUUGCCUUUUGAUUGUAGGCCUGCAUGAAUGGUUUAACGAGGGUUUAACUGUCUCUUAAUUUAAAAUUGAAAUUGUACUGAAGGUGAAGAUACCUUCAUUAAAAAGUCAGACAAAAAGACCCCGUGCAACUUUGAAAAUUAACUUUAUUCAGAAGUGAAAGAUUUUUAGGUGGGGCGCCUAGAAAGUAAAUCUAACCUUUCUGAACAUUUAGUUCUUUCCGGACUUGACCCGAUUAUAUUCGAUCAUAGGAGAAGUUACGCCGGGGAUAACAGGCUAAUCCUUUAGUAGAGCUCGUAUUGGCUAAAGGGAUUGGCACCUCGAUGUUGAAUCAGGGAUGAUAGCUUCAAGGCGUAGAGGCUUUGAGAGUAGGUCUGUUCGACCUUUAAUACCCU